This 263-nucleotide unclassified non-coding RNA is filed under the name plant metagenome. RNAcentral describes it as "partial contains small subunit ribosomal RNA, internal transcribed spacer 1, and 5.8S ribosomal RNA". The record is from RNAcentral.
UUUCCGUAGGUGAACCUGCGGAAGGAUCAUUAUUGUAUAACCGAGGUGCGAGGGCUGUCGCUGACCCGAAAGGUCGUGCACGCCCGAGUGCCCUCACACACAUCCACCUCACCCCUAUGUGCACCACCGCGUGGGUCCCCCUUUGGCUUGUUCGGAGGGGGGCUUACGCUUUCACACAAACUUUGUAUGCAGUGUAGAAUGUAUUUUUUGUUUUUGCGAUCACGCAAUCAAUACAACUUUCAACAACGGAUCUCUUGGCUCUC